This 460-nucleotide ribosomal RNA is filed under the name uncultured bacterium. RNAcentral's name for it is "partial 16S ribosomal RNA". It matches the Rfam family "Bacterial small subunit ribosomal RNA", at positions 338 to 795 of the family's 1533-position model. The record is from RNAcentral.
CCUACGGGUGGCAGCAGUGAGGAAUAUUGGUCAAUGGGCGGAAGCCUGAACCAGCCCAGUAGCGUGCAGGAUGACGGCCCUACGGGUUGUAAACUGCUUUUAUACGGGAAUAACGCGCCUUCCGUGUAGGGCUUUGCAUGUACCGUAUGAAUAAGGACCGGCUAAUUCCGUGGCAGCAGCCGCGGUAAUACGGACGGUCCGGUCGUUAUCCGGGUUUGUUGGGUUUAAAGGUAGCGUAGGCCUCAUGUCAAGGGUGCUGUGAAAUGUCCGGGCUCAACCCGGGCCUUGCAGCGAGAACUGGCGUGCUUGAGUCCGCGGAAAGCAGGCGGAAUUCGUCGUGUAGCGGUGAAAUGCUUAGAUAUGACGAAGAACCCCGAUUGCGAAGGCAGCUUGCUGCAGCGGAACUGACGCUGAUGCUCGAAAGCGCGGGUAUCGAACAGGAUUAGAUACCCCAGUAGUC